GGACUACCGGGGUAUCUAAUCCUGUUUGCUCCCCUCGCUCUCGCGCCUCAGCGUCAGGUAUAAGCUAGAAAACCGCUUUCGCCACAGGUGUUCCUCCACAUAUCUACGCAUUUCACCGCUACACGUGGAAUUCCAUUUUCUCCGCCUACCCUCUAGAAUGGCAGUUUCAAAUGCAGGUCCGAAGUUAAGCUCCGGAAUUUCACAUCUGACCUACUAUCCCGCCUACGCGCUCUUUACGCCCAAUAAAUCCGAUUAAUGCUUGCACCCUCCGUAUUACCGCGGCGGCUGGCAC
This 292-nucleotide unclassified non-coding RNA is filed under the name uncultured fungus. Its description in RNAcentral is "sequence contains ITS1". Lineage: Eukaryota; Fungi. The record is from RNAcentral.